This 520-nucleotide ribosomal RNA is filed under the name uncultured Glomus. RNAcentral's name for it is "SSU rRNA". It matches the Rfam family "Eukaryotic small subunit ribosomal RNA", at positions 569 to 1092 of the family's 1831-position model. Lineage: Eukaryota; Fungi; Glomeromycota; Glomeromycetes; Glomerales; Glomeraceae. The record is from RNAcentral.
AGCAGCCGCGGUAAUUCCAGCUCCAAUAGCGUAUAUUAAAGUUGUUGCAGUUAAAAAGCUCGUAGUUGAAUUUCGGGGUUAGUAGAUUGGUCGUGCCACUGGUAUGUACUGGUCUUACUGAUUCCUUCUUCCUGAUGAACCGUAAUGCCAUUAAUUUGGUGUUGCGGGGAGACUGGACUGUUACUUUGAAAAAAUUAGAGUGUUUAAAGCAGGCUAACGCUUGAAUACAUUAGCAUGGAAUAAUGAAAUAGGACGUUCGAUCCUAUUUUGUUGGUUUCUAGGAUUGACGUAAUGAUUAAUAGGGAUAGUUGGGGGCAUUAGUAUUCAAUUGUCAGAGGUGAAAUUCUUGGAUUUAUUGAAGACUAACUACUGCGAAAGCAUUUGCCAAGGAUGUUUUCAUUAAUCAAGAACGAAAGUUAGGGGAUCGAAGACGAUCAGAUACCGUCGUAGUCUUAACCAUAAACUAUGCCGACUAGGGAUCGGAUGAUGUUAUUUUUAAUGACUCAUUCGGCGCCUUACG